GACGGAGGAUGCAAGUGUUAUCCGGAAUCACUGGGCGUAAAGCGUCUGUAGGUGGUUUAGUAAGUCAACUGUUAAAUCUUGAAGCUCAACUUCAAAAUCGCAGUCGAAACUAUUAGACUAGAGUAUAGUAGGGGUAAAGGGAAUUUCCAGUGGAGCGGUGAAAUGCGUAGAGAUUGGAAAGAACACCGAUGGCGAAGGCACUUUACUGGGCUAUUACUGACACUCAGAGACGAAAGCUACGGUAGCAAAUGGG
RNAcentral lists this ribosomal RNA (253 nucleotides) under uncultured bacterium. RNAcentral's name for it is "partial 16S ribosomal RNA". It matches the Rfam family "Bacterial small subunit ribosomal RNA", at positions 524 to 776 of the family's 1533-position model. The record is from RNAcentral.